Molecule: ribosomal RNA, 481 nt
Filed under: uncultured bacterium
Lineage: Bacteria
Description: partial 16S ribosomal RNA
Rfam family: Bacterial small subunit ribosomal RNA
Source: RNAcentral
GAUGAACGCUGGCGGCGUGCUUAACACAUGCAAGUCGAACGAAGCAUUUGCGACAGAUUUUUUCGGAAUGAAGUUGCUUAUGACUGAGUGGCGGACGGGUGAGUAACGCGUGGGUAACCUGCCUUGUACUGGGGGAUAGCAGCUGGAAACGGCUGGUAAUACCGCAUAAGCGCACAAUGUUGCAUGACAUGGUGUGAAAAACUCCGGUGGUAUAAGAUGGACCCGCGUCUGAUUAGCUAGUUGGUGAGAUAACAGCCCACCAAGGCGACGAUCAGUAGCCGACCUGAGAGGGUGACCGGCCACAUUGGGACUGAGACACGGCCCAGACUCCUACGGGAGGCAGCAGUGGGGAAUAUUGCACAAUGGAGGAAACUCUGAUGCAGCGACGCCGCGUGAGUGAAGAAGUAAUUCGUUAUGUAAAGCUCUAUCAGCAGGGAAGGUAGUGACGGUACCUGACGAAGAAGCUCCGGCUAAAUACGUG